RNAcentral lists this ribosomal RNA (297 nucleotides) under Paludibacter sp. RNAcentral's name for it is "partial 23S ribosomal RNA". It matches the Rfam family "Bacterial large subunit ribosomal RNA", at positions 1 to 305 of the family's 2925-position model. The record is from RNAcentral. Lineage: Bacteria; Pseudomonadati; Bacteroidota; Bacteroidia; Bacteroidales; Paludibacteraceae.
AAAAAGUAAAAUAAGAGCGAACGGUGGAUGCCUUGGCUCUGGGAGGCGAUGAAGGACGUGAUAAGCUGCGAUAAGCUUGGGGUAGGUGCAAAUAACCAUUAAUCCCGGGAUUUCCGAAUGAGGCAACUCAAUGCAGUGAAGCUGCAUUAUCCUGAGAAUUCAGGAGGCAAACGAGGGGAACUGAAACAUCUCAUUACCCUCAGGAGAAGAAAACAAAAGUGAUUGCGCGAGUAGUGGCGAGCGAAAGCGCAGAAGCCCAAACCCAUGAUGUAGCAAUGCAUGAUGGGGGUUGUAGGA